UCACCAGGCAUCUGUUGGAGGAGCAAGA
Molecule: non-coding RNA, 28 nt
Filed under: Homo sapiens (human)
Lineage: Eukaryota; Metazoa; Chordata; Mammalia; Primates; Hominidae
Source: RNAcentral